UACGGAGGGUGCAAGCGUUAUCCGGAUUCACUGGGUUUAAAGGGUGCGUAGGUGGGCAGGUAGGUCAGUGGUGAAAUCUCCGGGCUUAACCCGGAAACUGCCAUUGAUACUAUCUGUCUUGAAUACCGUGGAGGUGAGCGGAAUAUGUCAUGUAGCGGUGAAAUGCUUAGAUAUGACAUAGAACACCAAUUGCGAAGGCAGCUCACUACACGAAUAUUGACACUGAGGCACGAAAGCGUGGGGAUCAAACAGG
RNAcentral lists this ribosomal RNA (253 nucleotides) under uncultured bacterium. Its description in RNAcentral is "partial 16S ribosomal RNA". It matches the Rfam family "Bacterial small subunit ribosomal RNA", at positions 524 to 776 of the family's 1533-position model. The record is from RNAcentral.